Molecule: long non-coding RNA, 1028 nt
Organism: Salvia splendens (bonfire salvia)
Lineage: Eukaryota; Viridiplantae; Streptophyta; Magnoliopsida; Lamiales; Lamiaceae
Exons: 3
Source: RefSeq, a predicted model, not a curated record
AACUAAAUCUAGAAGAUUCUAAUCAAUUAUAUAUUAAUCUAGACUUCAUCUUCCACUCAUUUUCUUCAAAAAAAACCGUGCAUAUCAGCCCCCAUAGGAGAAGUAGACCUCAAGCUUUCAUCUCCCUCUAUUUUGCAAAUCGUUCGGUGAAAUCGAAUUCUAGACGCGUACUCCCCGAUGACUUGAGGCAAAGGAACCUAUAGUGCAUUUUGGAGACAAAGGAGUGAACCUAGAAGGUAGAGAAGUAUCAAGGUGAAAUAUGCUUAUGUUCAUAAGCCUAAGAGGUUAGAGUUGAUAGUAUGUCAGUGUGGUUGGGCAGCUUUGCAAUUUUUGGCGAGUCACUGGUGAUCAACAUGGUUAAAAGUCGUGGCAUGUUGUAUAAUAGUUCAAUCUUUGAUCUUUCGCUGGAUAAAUGUUAAGUUUUUAAUUGUAAUAGUUUUUAAUUGCUCUUUUUAAGCUAAAAAGAAAAUAGGAAAAUUUCAGUACGUGUUGUCGAUACUGAAACGUGACACCACGUAUUCGGUGGGUUUACCUACCGGGUAAGGGGUGUUACAAGUUGGUAUCAGAGCAAAGGUUUAGGUGGUUCUGGAAAGAAGUGAUUCAGUAAAGUGUGUAGAAACAUGCCACAUAGGAGUAAAUGUCUGUUAGUACCAGUGACUCGAUGCAGCUGCCUAUUUAUAAAGUGGAAAGAAGUUAGUAAAGUACGGGACAUAGUUUCCCGUGUGACCGAGAAAGAUGUUAUAUGAGACUGGCCACCUCAUAUAGUUCGACUCUCGGUAACGUUAUUUUGUGUAAAAGACUUAAAAAGUGCAGGGAGGGUGUGUUUGAAAAUAGUGAUGAAAAGUGUGUCCUAAUGAAAGAAAUGAGAUUUGCUUCAAUUGUAUUAUUCGAUAAUAUGUCAAAAUAAGAUGUUGGUAUGUUAUGUUGAGAAUUGUAGGAAAUGAGUGUUAAUAUAUGAAAUAUGAUGUGAUCGAAAAUAUGAUACGCGAUAUAUGGUGUGAUGGGAGGAACUGAUAUAUGAUAUACGG